AUUGAACGCUGGCGGCAUGCCUUACACAUGCAAGUCGAACGGCAGCACGGGUGCUUGCACCUGGUGGCGAGUGGCGAACGGGUGAGUAAUACAUCGGAACAUGUCCUGUAGUGGGGGAUAGCCCGGCGGAAGCCGGAUUAAUACCGCAUACGAACUACGGAUGAAAGCGGGGGACCUUCGGGCCUCGCGCUAUAGGGUUGGCCGAUGGCGUAUUAGCUAGUUGGGGGGGUAAAGGCCUACCAAGGCGACGAUCAGUAGCUGGUCUGAGAGGACGAUCAGCCACACUGGGAGUGAGACACGGACCAGACUCCUACGGGAGGCAGCAGUGGGGAAUUUUGGGCAAUGGGCGAAAGCCUGAUCCAGCAAUGCCGCGUGUGUGAAGAAGGCCUUCGGGUCGUAAAGCACUUUUGUCCGGAAAGAACUCCUUUGGCCUAAUACGGUCGGGGGAUGACGGUACCGGAAGAAGAAGCACCGGCUAACUACGUG
RNAcentral lists this ribosomal RNA (486 nucleotides) under uncultured bacterium. Its description in RNAcentral is "partial 16S ribosomal RNA". It matches the Rfam family "Bacterial small subunit ribosomal RNA", at positions 29 to 507 of the family's 1533-position model. The record is from RNAcentral.